GCACUCACUUUGGCAGAGCGAAUGCUAAAAUUGGAACCAUACAGAAAAGAUUAGCACAGCCCCUGUGCGCGCAAAUUUGUGAAGCAUUCCAUUUUUUU
Ailuropoda melanoleuca (giant panda) is the source of this 98-nucleotide small nuclear RNA. The record is from Ensembl. Lineage: Eukaryota; Metazoa; Chordata; Mammalia; Carnivora; Ursidae.